RNAcentral lists this ribosomal RNA (448 nucleotides) under uncultured bacterium. RNAcentral's name for it is "bacterial SSU rRNA". It matches the Rfam family "Bacterial small subunit ribosomal RNA", at positions 330 to 793 of the family's 1533-position model. The record is from RNAcentral.
CCCAGACUCCUACGGGAGGCAGCAGUGGGGAAAAGGGGGCAAUGGGAGAAAGCCUGACAGAGCAACGCCGCGUGAAGGAAGAAGGCGUUCGGGUUGUAAAAGUCUGUUGACAGGGAAGAGAAGAAGACGGUACCUGUCGAAUAAGCCACGGCUAACUACGUGCCAGCAGCCGCGGUAAUACGUAGGUGGCAAGCGUUGUCCGGAUUUACUGGGUGUAAAGGGCGUGUAGCCGGGCUUACAAGUCAGAUGUGAAAUCCGGGGGCUCAACCCCCGAACUGCAUUUGAAACUGUAGGUCUUGAGUAUCGGAGAGGCAGGCGGAAUUCCUAGUGUAGCGGUGAAAUGCGUAGAUAUUAGGAGGAACACCAGUGGCGAAGGCGGCCUGCUGGACGACAACUGACGGUGAGGCGCGAAAGCGUGGGGAGCAAACAGGAUUAGAUACCCGAGUAA